UAUAGUUAAGAUUAAGUAAAUAUGCAACUUGAAUAUACUUCCAGUUUGGAUCUGAUUUUCUAUCAAGUAGAGAGCCGGAAUACUGAUCAAGAAGUUCAACCAUAUUUAUAUGAGGAAUUUCAAUACUAGCAACAGCACGAUUAACCCCUUUCUUGAAUUCAUCUCUGGAAAUGAGAGGAGUGACAAGAGUAAAGUACUUAUUAUAGAAUUGUACUGCCAAACUAGUUAACUUGAUGAUGCUAUAUUCUGGUGAGGAAAUCAUGAUUUUGAGCAACAAAUAGCUUGUUCCUAUACUAUAGGGAGAAAUUGCAAACUCAGUUUUUGGAUACUCUGAAGAUGUAAACUCUUUGAAUGCGUUUUUAAUAUCCAAGUUCACCACAAGCUGUAAAAAUGCGAGCAUUUCUUCUGAAUAUUUACCAACCUGGACUUCCAUAUAUACAACAGAAAGAUCUUCAUUUGAAUUAGAGCAUUGCUUAAGAUAAAAUAUAUCCUUAUAUUCAACAGGCAAAGAGUCCAUAUUUAUCCUAUUAAUCCAUUUUCCUUUAUAACUUCCUUCUGGUAAGAAUGCUUUUUCUGAGUAGUCA
This 584-nucleotide non-coding RNA is filed under the name Cryptosporidium parvum. Lineage: Eukaryota; Apicomplexa; Conoidasida; Eucoccidiorida; Cryptosporidiidae. The record is from RNAcentral.